GACCCAGUGGCGAAUGGUUCGUGCACGCGCCGUACAUGUGAAUGCUAGCGAGUUUGGCAGCGUGAGUCCCUGGUUCGACUCCAGGCUGGGUCU
Non-coding RNA from Mycena vulgaris, 93 nucleotides. The record is from the annotation of a GenBank genome assembly. NCBI's taxonomy places the organism in Eukaryota, Fungi, Basidiomycota, Agaricomycetes, Agaricales, Mycenaceae.